Physcomitrium patens is the source of this 4673-nucleotide non-coding RNA. Lineage: Eukaryota; Viridiplantae; Streptophyta; Bryopsida; Funariales; Funariaceae. The record is from RefSeq and is a predicted model, not a curated record.
AUCGAGUUUCGAGGGCACACAUUCAUCCUGCAAAAUUUCCGUACACAGAAGGGGGAUUCAUCAACCGGUAGUGGUUUGAGAGGUCCAGGCUUCAUGUAUAAGUAGCUCUUCUCGCUACAUACUGCCACACUUCUCACUUUCCACUUGCACUCGCUUCUGAAAAGCUCUCUGUUAUCAUCUCAGGGUUCAUGAUCCAAAGCUUCUUUUAAGCACAAAUUGACGCCGAUGGGACCUAUCAAGUCUCGUUUUGUCACUUCUGACCACUGUUUAGGAUCGAUUCUCGAUGUGCAGAAUUGCCCCGCGCAGGUUUCGUGUUGGUGGGAGUCGCAAGUUUUAGAGAGAGCGAGAUAGAGAGAGAGGGAGCGAGAGGGUGAGAGGAAGAGAUAUGCUUGUCCGCCGGAGUCUCUAAUGGUUACAGGGUGUUCGUUUUUCUCCCUCAAAGGCUUCCAACAACAGUCGGAAUUAACUCUGAUGCGGCCAUUAUCACUGGUUGCAGUGAAUUAUUCUAGUUCUGCUGUUGGAAGCCUUCGUGGGAGACGAAAGAACCCUUGUUUGGAAGGCUUGGAAGCGCUUCUGUCUUUAGUCCUGGCUGAUCUACACAGCAGCUCUACCACUCGUAUGAUUGGCUCUAGGGGAUGUACUAGCAGUGGACGAGCAGCCGCAAGCUCAAGAGAUCACAGAUCCUUUGGUCGAUCUCUUGAGGGAUUUCUGAAGCUCCAACUUCUUACAAUUCGGAAUAGUCCCUUUCUUUUCUACCUUCAUUGGUGACUGCACCAUGAACAUCACCACGCGCGACAGAUAUUGUUUAAACCAUAAGUUUCUUUUUGUGCUCUUGCAGCAUUUUAUCAAGCUGCGAGCAGAAGCUGUGCAGUCAUUCUUUUCGGUAUGUCCUUCUCAGCAACAAGCAUGUAGACCUCAUAAGAUAGUGUUUUAUGUUCUGAUUCCCGUUUUAAUUAAUCGAGUGUGUAUUGUAUGGUGUUAUAAUCGAAAGCCACUGCGUCGUAUAUACCAUCUACGACCUAUUAACUUAGUUGCGAAUCUUAAGCGUGCAGAAAGCAGCGGUGAAUUUCGACUCUUUCAAAAGACAUUUACUGUGAAGUACAAUGCCGUCAACCGGCGACGUGUUUCCCCGAUAAGCUACCGCCACGCGUGUGAUUUCGACUUCCAUUGUGUAGGCUUUUCCCAUCACCACAGCCGUCAUCUUCCAGUACCCCUAGUGUUUGCAAACAGGAAUCCUAUUUUCUCUCGUGCUAGGCAAUCGUCAGUCUUUGUACUUGCCGCACAUGCAGUCGCAUCUAAGUACUCGUGCAUGUUCAUUCGCAGUUCAGGUUCUUCUGUAUGCUGGAAUAUUGCAGUUAAUUCUGUGUAACCAGAUACAUUGUGUAUCUGAUCCUUCACCUAUUGCCAAUCAAAUGAAUAUACUAACGUUGUGUUCACUUUUGCAUUGUUAUUAAUAAAAUCCAUUCAACAUUAUUCUAGUUGGCUUUGCACAAUGAUCUGCCUUUAGUCGUGUGCUAGUUUUACAUUUCGCAAACCUGACAGUUUUCGUGAAACCGAUUGUUUUUGAAUUACCUGAUAAUCUCGGCGGAUACUAGUUCUCUUUCUAUAUGUAACUGAUAUCCCAGAUCCACUUGUCUCUUUCGUUUCAUGAUCACGCAGACAGUAAUUAUAAUAUCAGACGCCUUCGGCUCAUGAAGCGAUAUGGUGAAUAUUUUAUUUCGUUUAAUACUGGAUCUACCGGGUUAAACUUCAGUUAAGGCAAAUUUCAACACUGCCGUGUUUCCAAUAACGUUGAUCCCGAUCGUGUGAUGCUCGUUUGUAUCAAGUGUGCACACACGUUUAGGUCAAUUGCACUGAAAGCUUAUUGGUCAAACUGAGUGAAUGUCUUUCAUUUGUAAUUAUCAAUGUUCACUUCAUAUACUACGUAUUUGUGUAGCUUUUGUUGGUGUAAAGACUAAUAAUGUUAUGUAAGAGCAACACACUCGAUUAUGAAAUCCUACAAAGUAUGCGAUCACUGGAGUAAUCCUCAGUGUCUAACUCUCUAGAUGAAGUGAAGAGGUGAAAUAAUUAAUCUAAAUGUGCAAUAACACGGUUAUCUAGAUGUACUAUGGUUGUGAAACAGUUCGAUAAUCAAACGAAUGUGCCAAACAUCCAUGUUUCCAAACCAUCACUGCAACCACACCCCGAGUGCGGAGAACUCCGUUUUCUUGUCACCUCUUUCAAUUUAUCCCAUUCCACUUUGCCCAACAGGUGGAUUCACAACAGGACAUUAUGAGAUUACAAACAUCAACAAAUGACAUUCACUGUUUGUUGCCAGGUUAGAAGUAUUGAAAAUAUAGAAGUAGAGAUUGUUAUUUACACUUAUCCUCUAAUGUUUGGUGUGUCCUUUUCCUUUCAAUCUAACGUAUUAAGACCCAGUAAAUUAUAUAUCCAUCUCUUCAUUCAAUUCACACAUCAAGUACAGUGAUAUUGUUGCAGAACAUGUUCCCAACUUGCCCUCUGACGUUUUUACUUCAUUCAUCAUGUCUACAAAUAUAGAUGUCCUGUGGAUGCCUCAGAUUUUGUGAACUUACUGCCAAGAAAAAAAUUAUUGGGAGUUCUUGAACUAUUGAUAAAAAGGGUUGCACAGUGAAAAGUUUGGGGUUUCAAGAAAAAAUAAAACAUGAAAUCAUUUAUAAGCAAUUAGACAGGUCUUUUUGCAGCUUCUCAGCUAUCGCAUAGUCUGUUUGAUUUCCGCUGCAAUGGACUCGAGGGGUGUCGGAAACGCGUUUUCAACUGGGCCUCUGUUUCUGUUAUUUGCUCCACCUCUUUCGUCAUUUUGUGUUCACGUUGUAAGGUUGAGUGAUCUAGUGGUAUUUGGAUAGCUGGGUUUGUGGAUUUUUAUCGCAAGCAAGACGGAUUUGUUGCUGUUGAGUGGAAGAAGGCUGGGUUAAUUUCACAAGGUGUCGAUUUUAGAGGAAUAUGUGUUUUUGGGUGGGACUUGGGCGCUUCCAUAAGGACGCAACUGUUUUGAUAUGUGGGAACUCUUGAUGGAUUUGUGAGUGCCAUGUACUGCAAGAUGGGCUCGCCAUGAAUUGCCUGAUUAAUGAGAAUCAAUCUGGAAUAGGAGGGUUCGAAUUGGAAGUGUGUCUAUUAGGAAUGGAUUGUUCCACCUCACGUUCGGCGAAGUAAUCACCUUCUGGAUCCCCUUCCUUGCUCGUGGCCUUCCAAUGCAACAACUGGUGCACCUGUAGUUACUGAUGGGUCCAGAAACGUGGUAAUCGGUGAUCCUUAGGGGCUCACAGAUCGCACCUUGAACAACCAAAAAUCAGGCUCCUUGGGUCUUCUUGUGACUCAAAUUUUUUCAGAAAUCUAUGUGCGCCGUGCGUUUCUAUGCUCUUUACUUGCAAAAUGACCACAGAUCAAAUCAUACUUCUUGGGGACCUUCUCGAUGGAGGCCCCUAUCUAGCUCCACAUGAGGAAGUCAGUUUUGGCCUUAUUUUCUGCAUCUGAGUGGACACUCAUGAGACUUGGCGCUGUUCAUGUUCCUUUUCAAGGGAAUGGCUGGAUAACAUUGACCUUCUGGAAAUAAGGUUCUUUAGUGUAUGUAACUGAUUCAUGGACCUCUAGGGAUAUGGAUUGGUUUGUGCGUCUGUGUUUGUGUGCAUUUCUUUGAAGGUGGUUUUGAACCACACAAUUGGAUAUGUAUAAACAAUUCAUGAUUGAAGAAUGCUUUGAUGGCAGCAGAUGGCAAGAAUUGCUAAAAUGAUUUGAACACGUUUUUGACCAGUCAGUAGGGGCAGUUGAAUCCGGACUGCAGAGGUCAUUGCUUCCUUUCUACACUCUUUCCAGUGAUCAUGAUUUAGGUUAUGAAGCAAUGGAGACAUCGAAUCCAGAGGUACUUCAGAGCUGCAUUAACAGUUAGUGCAGUGUCUCAUGUGGUUUGUGCAUUGCAUCAUGGGAGCUUAAUGUAUUGUUCCUGUAUUCAUUUUUGACGUUGUAUACAUUGUAUGCAGACCACUUAGCGUUAUCAGAGAGAAUUUGGUCCAUUAGAACUUCAUGUCAUCUUUGGAGAUGUACAAUUUAUGUUUGUGGAUGCGUAAGCUCUUGAUGGUGAAGAUCACCUUUGCUGUCCACGGUCUCGCUGAAAUGAUAUUUGCAUUUCUAUCAAGCUACUUACUUUCAGAAUUCAGAACAUGCGCUUUGAAAGUUUCUAUCAAUCAAUCGUUGUGGCCUUAUGAAGAAGGCUGCAGAAUGGUUAACAUAUGCAGAGGUAGUUUCCUCAUUGCUACAGGAUCUGGAGAUGUUGCUGAAAGGUCAUGGAAAUUUGUAUAGCGGAGGGAACAGAAAAGAGACAUCACGCUAGGAUCUUGGUGACUCAUAUUCCGCUUUCCGAUCUGAUGAUAUACCUUGUGGCAGUAACUGUGCGUCUACAGUUAUCAAUUAGGUGAAACAGAAGAGAGUUGUGGAUACAAAGAUUUUAAUCUGUUAUUGGAAUAGAAAUUCGUCAGCAAAUUACGAUUCGAAUAGAGCAUGAAAAUUUUGAUUUCCCACCUAAACGCUUGGAUACAACGUUUCAUCUUGCUAUGGAGAACUCUCAGUUUCUGCCAUUUUAGAGGCAUUUUAGCUUGUAUAUCCAUCCAGAAAGGUGCUUAAUAUGGAUUCGCAUAUUUUUGCUGAAUGAUGUUGCUGUA